This is a long non-coding RNA of Chiroxiphia lanceolata (lance-tailed manakin), 1834 nucleotides long. RefSeq lists it as uncharacterized. The record is from RefSeq and is a predicted model, not a curated record. The transcript is spliced from 8 exons. Lineage: Eukaryota; Metazoa; Chordata; Aves; Passeriformes; Pipridae.
AUUUAGGAGGUUCAUUUGGUUGUCCUGGGGUUAAAGAAAGCCUAAACUUGUACUUGACACUCUUUCUUGUUACAGGGUCCUGCUUGCUUUCUACUCUGUAGAAAAUGCAUCAGUGUCAUUGGUCUAUCUUUCCAUUAUUGCCAUUUUCCUAUUUUUAGCAUAUAUUUCAUGCCCUAAUUCAUGUUAAAAUUCAGUGUGUCCUGUUUCCUUGACUCCAGACAUCGCUCCUUGAAGAUGCAGAUCUGCUGAAAAACAAUACUCUUUAAAAAGUAAACAGUUUCCCUUACUCUCAGACUAACAUUAAAAAACAGUCUCUCAAAAGUUCUCAAAGGAACAUGUUUAAAAAUGAACGGGUAGACAUUUGUCUUUGUAAUGGAUAGUGUAUUUUUAGGUAGUAUAAAUUUUAUAGAAGUCAUAAAGUUUUAUGAACUUUAACAAAUGUCCUUCUCAGAAUAACUUGGGUCUUAUUGUCAGUAUGUUAUCUGGGAAAAGGUGACCAGAUCUGUUCCUAAAAGUGAGGAAUUUGCAAGUGGGAGGUUACAUGAGUUUGUGAAGAGAGUUUAAAAUCAAUCCCUUCAGCGCCUGCAGCAAAACCAGUUGGGUAACUUCAGAAUUCUUUUGGUUUUUCUCUAAAACCCAAUAAACCUCUGUGCCAGGCAGGAUUUGUCUUCUCUUGCAGGAAUUUGUCUCCCUUUCUUGGGACAAAUGUGACCUGCUCAGUAGUCCCAUAAGCUACAAGUUACUGGAGCUGAACUUGAGGAAAAAACGUCCCUGGACUUGCUGUGUCCGUGUCCCACGUGCUGGCACCCAGCCCUCAGCUGAGGACACACUGAAAUCUGCUUCCCUGUAGGCCUGAUCCUGCCUGAGCUUCAGGUGGUAAUUAAAUUCAUCAUCAUCUACACCUAUUUCCACUUAACCUCUUGAGGGGAAGAGCCACCUGAACACCAGCAGUUACUGGAACUUGCAGGAGUGAGGCACCCACAAGGAAGAGAAGCUCUCCCAUUUCUCCACCUCCAAAAGGGACUCAGUGAAGCAGAAAACCAAAAGUUAGUCUUCAGUGGUUGGGGAAAAUCCUGAAAGUUGGCAGAGGUGGUCUCCGGAUGAUCCAGCCCAGUUUUUCCAGGAUGAGGGAGCAAAGAGCUGGCAAGUGCAGAUUCCAGUUGCUCCUGGAGUCACAAAGAAGGGAAGGGGAAGCGCCGUGAUGAGGGGAUAUAAACCCACGUGCAGGGACAUGAAGCAGAGGACCUGCUUGGAAUGCGACCAUUGACAACCUCUCAGCUACACGAGGAAUUCAAGGAGUGCAUCACAGUUUGCCAGUGGCUCCCAUGUACCUCUUGCUGCCCUCAUGUCUGAAUGUCACCUUCCCAACUCUUCUAUGUGGUCAGAGCACAGGAGCCGGACUUUGGGAUGAAUCCAGCAUCAGAAAGGUGCUCCAUAAGGACAAUUCCUGUGCUCCAGCCAGACCAGACUGGAAAACCCAACCAGGUGUGCAAUAGGGAUGUGGGGCCCCCAUGACCAGCUGGAGAUCUGCUCCCAUUUGGCUUUCCCAUUACUUUCCAAUGUAGAUGGAGCCAUGUGACACCCAGAGUCCAUCAGCAGCAACACACCAGUUAUGGAAAAGACUCAGAAAUAUCACCAAAAAGAGGACUGGGCAAUACUGUGAAUUUCAAGUCUUUGAUGAACCAUCAUUCCAGUAACCCUACAGAUACCACUCAACUAGCACAGCCAGAGCUGAAGCUGCCAAGAACUCUGUAAAAAAAAGGGAGGAAAACAAAGUCAGCCGACUGCAUGCCAAGGAGGAGGUAUUUUGGAAGUUAAAAACUCUGAUUUGUAG